Molecule: ribosomal RNA, 474 nt
Filed under: uncultured organism
Description: partial 16S ribosomal RNA
Rfam family: Bacterial small subunit ribosomal RNA
Source: RNAcentral
ACACUCCUACGGGAGGCAGCAGUGGGGAAUUUUGGACAAUGGGCGAAAGCCUGAUCCAGCAAUGCCGCGUGCAGGAUGAAGGCCUUCGGGUUGUAAACUGCUUUUGUACGGAACGAAAAAGCUCCUUCUAAUACAGGGGGCCCAUGACGGUACCGUAAGAAUAAGCACCGGCUAACUACGUGCCAGCAGCCGCGGUAAUACGUAGGGUGCGAGCGUUAAUCGGAAUUACUGGGCGUAAAGCGUGCGCAGGCGGUUAUGUAAGACAGAUGUGAAAUCCCCGGGCUCAACCUGGGAACUGCAUUUGUGACUGCAUGGCUAGAGUACGGUAGAGGGGGAUGGAAUUCCGCGUGUAGCAGUGAAAUGCGUAGAUAUGCGGAGGAACACCGAUGGCGAAGGCAAUCCCCUGGACCUGUACUGACGCUCAUGCACGAAAGCGUGGGGAGCAAACAGGAUUAGAUACCCCGGUAGUCCCAU